AGCUAAGUAAGCUAAAUAAAGCUUUUGGGCCCAUACCCCAAGUAUGUUGGUUAAAUCCCCUCCUUACCUA
This 70-nucleotide transfer RNA is filed under the name Grammoplites scaber (rough flathead). RNAcentral's name for it is "tRNA-Met". It matches the Rfam family "tRNA". Rfam says of the family: Transfer RNA (tRNA) molecules are approximately 80 nucleotides in length. Their secondary structure includes four short double-helical elements and three loops (D, anti-codon, and T loops). RNAcentral also lists the same sequence under 1 other name. Lineage: Eukaryota; Metazoa; Chordata; Actinopteri; Perciformes; Platycephalidae. The record is from RNAcentral.